RNAcentral lists this ribosomal RNA (380 nucleotides) under uncultured eukaryote. RNAcentral describes it as "partial 18S ribosomal RNA". It matches the Rfam family "Eukaryotic small subunit ribosomal RNA", at positions 592 to 976 of the family's 1831-position model. The record is from RNAcentral.
CAAUAGCGUAUAUUAAAGUUGUUGCAGUUAAAAAGCUCGUAGUUGGAUUUGUGGCGUACGGUGGGUUCCAGGCACUUGUUGUCUGAGUAACUUGCUGUUGCCAUCCUUGGGUGGAACCUGUGUGGCAUUAGGUUGUCGUGCAGGGGAUGCCCAUCAUUUACUGUGAAAAAAUUAGAGUGUUCAAAGCAGGCUUAUGCCGUUGAAUAUAUUAGCAUGGAAUAAUGAGAUAGGACUUUUUUGCUAUUUUGUUGGUUUGCGCAAAGAGGUAAUGAUUAAUAGGGACAGUUGGGGGUAUUCGUAUUCCAUUGUCAGAGGUGAAAUUCUUGGAUUUUUGGAAGACGAACUACUGCGAAAGCAUUUACCAAGGAUGUUUUCAUUAA